This 1372-nucleotide ribosomal RNA is filed under the name uncultured bacterium. RNAcentral's name for it is "bacterial SSU rRNA". It matches the Rfam family "Bacterial small subunit ribosomal RNA", at positions 28 to 1381 of the family's 1533-position model. The record is from RNAcentral.
GAUGAACGCUGGCGGCGUGCCUAAUACAUGCAAGUCGAGCGAACGGACGAGAAGCUUGCUUCUCUGAUGUUAGCGGCGGACGGGUGAGUAACACGUGGAUAACCUACCUAUAAGACUGGGAUAACUUCGGGAAACCGGAGCUAAUACCGGAUAAUAUUUUGAACCGCAUGGUUCAAAAGUGAAAGACGGUCUUGCUGUCACUUAUAGAUGGAUCCGCGCUGCAUUAGCUAGUUGGUAAGGUAACGGCUUACCAAGGCAACGAUGCAUAGCCGACCUGAGAGGGUGAUCGGCCACACUGGAACUGAGACACGGUCCAGACUCCUACGGGAGGCAGCAGUAGGGAAUCUUCCGCAAUGGGCGAAAGCCUGACGGAGCAACGCCGCGUGAGUGAUGAAGGUCUUCGGAUCGUAAAACUCUGUUAUUAGGGAAGAACAUAUGUGUAAGUAACUGUGCACAUCUUGACGGUACCUAACCAGAAAGCCACGGCUAACUACGUGCCAGCAGCCGCGGUAAUACGUAGGUGGCAAGCGUUAUCCGGAAUUAUUGGGCGUAAAGCGCGCGUAGGCGGUUUUUUAAGUCUGAUGUGAAAGCCCACGGCUCAACCGUGGAGGGUCAUUGGAAACUGGAAAACUUGAGUGCAGAAGAGGAAAGUGGAAUUCCAUGUGUAGCGGUGAAAUGCGCAGAGAUAUGGAGGAACACCAGUGGCGAAGGCGACUUUCUGGUCUGUAACUGACGCUGAUGUGCGAAAGCGUGGGGAUCAAACAGGAUUAGAUACCCUGGUAGUCCACGCCGUAAACGAUGAGUGCUAAGUGUUAGGGGGUUUCCGCCCCUUAGUGCUGCAGCUAACGCAUUAAGCACUCCGCCUGGGGAGUACGACCGCAAGGUUGAAACUCAAAGGAAUUGACGGGGACCCGCACAAGCGGUGGAGCAUGUGGUUUAAUUCGAAGCAACGCGAAGAACCUUAUCAAAUCUUGACAUCCUUUGACAACUCUAGAGAUAGAGCUUUCCCCUUCGGGGGACAAAGUGACAGGUGGUGCAUGGUUGUCGUCAGCUCGUGUCGUGAGAUGUUGGGUUAAGUCCCGCAACGAGCGCAACCCUUAAGCUUAGUUGCCAUCAUUAAGUUGGGCACUCUAAGUUGACUGCCGGUGACAAACCGGAGGAAGGUGGGGAUGACGUCAAAUCAUCAUGCCCCUUAUGAUUUGGGCUACACACGUGCUACAAUGGACAAUACAAAGGGCAGCGAAACCGCGAGGUCAAGCAAAUCCCAUAAAGUUGUUCUCAGUUCGGAUUGUAGUCUGCAACUCGACUACAUGAAGCUGGAAUCGCUAGUAAUCGUAGAUCAGCAUGCUACGGUGAAUACGUUCCCGGGUCU